This 253-nucleotide ribosomal RNA is filed under the name uncultured bacterium. Its description in RNAcentral is "partial 16S ribosomal RNA". It matches the Rfam family "Bacterial small subunit ribosomal RNA", at positions 524 to 776 of the family's 1533-position model. The record is from RNAcentral.
GACGAACCGAGCGAACGUUGUUCGGAAUAACUGGGCUUAAAGGGCGCGUAGGCGGGCUGUCAAGUCUGGGGUGAAAUCCCGCGGCUCAACCGUGGAACUGCCUCAGAUACUGACGGCCUCGAGGGAGGUAGGGGCGAGCGGAACGAAUGGUGGAGCGGUGAAAUGCGUUGAUAUCAUUCGGAACUCCGGUGGCGAAGGCGGCUCGCUGGACCUUUUCUGACGCUGAGGCGCGAAAGCUAGGGGAGCAAACGGG